GAUGAACGCUGGCGGCGUGCCUAAUACAUGCAAGUCGAGCGAACAGAUGAGGAGCUUGCUCCUCUGACGUUAGCGGCGGACGGGUGAGUAACACGUGGAUAACCUACCUAUAAGACUGGGAUAACUUCGGGAAACCGGAGCUAAUACCGGAUAAUAUAUUGAACCGCAUGGUUCAAUAGUGAAAGACGGUUUUGCUGUCACUUAUAGAUGGAUCCGCGCCGCAUUAGCUAGUUGGUAAGGUAACGGCUUACCAAGGCAACGAUGCGUAGCCGACCUGAGAGGGUGAUCGGCCACACUGGAACUGAGACACGGUCCAGACUCCUACGGGAGGCAGCAGUAGGGAAUCUUCCGCAAUGGGCGAAAGCUUGACGGAGCAACGCCGCGAGAGUGAUGAAGGUCUUCGGAUCGUAAAACUCUGUUAUUAGGGAAGAACAAAUGUGUAAGUAACUAUGCACGUCUUGACGGUACCUAAUCAGAAAGCCACGGCUAACUACGUG
RNAcentral lists this ribosomal RNA (497 nucleotides) under uncultured bacterium. RNAcentral's name for it is "partial 16S ribosomal RNA". It matches the Rfam family "Bacterial small subunit ribosomal RNA", at positions 28 to 507 of the family's 1533-position model. The record is from RNAcentral.